RNAcentral lists this ribosomal RNA (524 nucleotides) under Trigonopterus sp. 539 AR-2022a. Its description in RNAcentral is "partial large subunit ribosomal RNA". It matches the Rfam family "Bacterial large subunit ribosomal RNA", at positions 1819 to 2625 of the family's 2925-position model. The record is from RNAcentral. Lineage: Eukaryota; Metazoa; Arthropoda; Insecta; Coleoptera; Curculionidae.
GGCUUGUUGAAUAUAAUUUUAGGUCGGGCCUGCCCACUGAGGUUUUGAAUGGCCGCGGUAAUUUGACCGUGCAAAGGUAGCAUAAUCAUUAGUUUUUUAAUUAAAAGCUUGUAUGAAAGGUUUGAUAAAAAAAUAACUGUCUCUAUAAGAUUUAUUUAAAAUUUUAUUUUUAAGUUAAAAAGCUUAAAUUUAUAUAGAAGACGAGAAGACCCUAUAGAGUUUGAUAUUUGUAUAGUUAAAUAAGAAAGGUUAGUUAGUUAUAUAAAUAUUUUGUUGGGGUGACAAGAAAAUUAAUAAAACUUUUCGUUGCUAGAGACAUUUAUGUAUGAAUUUAUGAUCCUAUAAUUAGAUAAAAAGAUAAAACUACCUUAGGGAUAACAGCGUAAUUUUUUUUAGAGUUCUUAUCAAAAAGAAAGAUUGCGACCUCGAUGUUGGAUUAAAAUUAACUAUUGGUGUAGAAGCUGAAAAGUUAGGUCUGUUCGACCUUUAAAAUUUUACAUGAUCUGAGUUUAAACCGGUGUAAG